Equus quagga is the source of this 1089-nucleotide long non-coding RNA. RefSeq lists it as uncharacterized. The transcript is spliced from 4 exons. The record is from RefSeq and is a predicted model, not a curated record. NCBI's taxonomy places the organism in Eukaryota, Metazoa, Chordata, Mammalia, Perissodactyla, Equidae.
CGGGCCUUUCACAUCUAAUCCUCUUCCCGCUGCCCUCCUGGAAAAGACGCCCUGAAAUUUCAUGCUAAUUACGUAACAUAUGUUAAGUCCCAGUAAACAUUUUACUAAAUCUGAACGAUGGAUUGCCACCGGCGGAGAGCAUUUCACGUCCUAGAGCUGAUGCGACAACGCACACGUCCUUGGCACAAAGCACAUGCUCUAUAAAUGUGGGUGAUGAAGGGCCACGGGGCCUUAGGGGACGCGACUAGAUCUAUAAUAUACAUAUGUCGUCGUGAUUACUCAUUUGGGAGUCAGGCUAACAAGGCUGAGAGAGCUGUGGGUGACGUGCCUAGUGAAGAACUGGGGCAUCUACACGCGGAGCCAGUAAACCCUUCGAACCCACCGUUCCGUUAUUCUCAUAUUUGUCAUCCUGUGUUAUCGGGGCAAUUGCUUCACCUCUCCGCAUUGUGUACGAGACCCGGCCAGGAAAUGAUGCAAUUACCAAAGGAGUCAAGAAACCUUCCAGCUCAGCCUCAAUUCAGAAACCCCCAUGAAAUAGGAGCAGAAGGCCAUAGGAUGUAACUCAGCUUUGAAAGUACCAACCAUUACAGCUGAACAAAUGUGACCCAAGAGACUCCGCUCCGCUGCAAGAUGGAGGGAGGGUUAAGUAAAAUACAUAUAAAUUUGUAAUGACCUUGCUUACAACAUCCGGCGCCACUGUGAGUUACAGCCAUCAUCCAUCACCACAGAAUUCAGAUGGGGCACACACCUCUUUCCUGUAUCAAGGAAUUUUUAGGAAAUCGAGUUCAGUAGAGGGAGCUCUUACUUCUCGUUUGGGGAUUACCAGAGCUCAGCAUUAGAGAAUUCGGUUUUGAAUAAAAAGACCUACAGAAUAUUGGAAAUAUAGGACAAUGAAGACACAUACGUACCCUUCGUCUACACCUAUGCUGUCCAAUUUAGCAGCACCAGCAACAUGCGGCUAUUGUGCAUUGAAAUGUGGCUAGUACGAAUUUAGAUCCUCUAGAAGCGUUAAAUGCUUACUGAAUUUUUAAGUCUUAGUAUGAAAAAUAAAAGAAUGUAAAGUAUGUGUAAUAAUUUUUACAUUGAUUA